This 495-nucleotide ribosomal RNA is filed under the name uncultured bacterium. Its description in RNAcentral is "partial 16S ribosomal RNA". It matches the Rfam family "Bacterial small subunit ribosomal RNA", at positions 28 to 507 of the family's 1533-position model. The record is from RNAcentral.
GACGAACGCUGGCGGCGUGCCUAAUACAUGCAAGUCGAACGCUGAAGGAGGAGCUUGCUUCUCUGGAUGAGUUGCGAACGGGUGAGUAACGCGUAGGUAACCUACCUGGUAGCGGGGGAUAACUAUUGGAAACGAUAGCUAAUACCGCAUAAGAGUAGAUGUCGCAUGACAUUUGCUUAAAAGGUGCAAUUGCAUCACUACCAGAUGGACCUGCGUUGUAUUAGCUAGUUGGUGAGGUAACGGCUCACCAAGGCAACGAUACAUAGCCGACCUGAGAGGGUGAUCGGCCACACUGGGACUGAGACACGGCCCAGACUCCUACGGGAGGCAGCAGUAGGGAAUCUUCGGCAAUGGACGGAAGUCUGACCGAGCAACGCCGCGUGAGUGAAGAAGGUUUUCGGAUCGUAAAGCUCUGUUGUAAGAGAAGAACGAGUGUGAGAGUGGAAAGUUCACACUGUGACGGUAUCUUACCAGAAAGAGACGGCUAACUACGUG